CCCGGGAGUACGCCCGAACGGGAAACCGUGGAUUAACUACCGGAUGAGGACCGGGACCCGCGAGUGGGCGGGAGUCCGGGAAAGGCGCUGCGGCGCCGCCGGGGGAUGAGUCUGCGUCCCAUUAGCUAGACGGCGGGGUAACGGCCCACCGUGGCGACGAUGGGUAGCCGGCCUGAGAGGGUGGACGGCCACAUUGGAACUGAGACACGGUCCAGACUCCUACGGGAGGCAGCAGCUAAGAAUCUUCCGCAAUGGGCGAAAGCCUGACGGAGCGACGCCCGCGUGAACGAAGAAGGCCGUGAGGUUGUAAAGUUCUUUUCGGGAGGGGGAACAACCGUGGCAGGGAAUGGCCGCGGGAUGACGUGAAUCCCGGAAUAAGCCCCGGCUAACUACGUGCCAGCCGCUGC
This 407-nucleotide ribosomal RNA is filed under the name uncultured bacterium. Its description in RNAcentral is "bacterial SSU rRNA". It matches the Rfam family "Bacterial small subunit ribosomal RNA", at positions 132 to 518 of the family's 1533-position model. The record is from RNAcentral.